RNAcentral lists this ribosomal RNA (254 nucleotides) under uncultured bacterium. RNAcentral describes it as "partial 16S ribosomal RNA". It matches the Rfam family "Bacterial small subunit ribosomal RNA", at positions 524 to 776 of the family's 1533-position model. The record is from RNAcentral.
UACGGAGGGGGCUAGCGUUGUUCGGAAUUACUGGGCGUAAAGCGCACGUAGGCGGCUUUGCAAGUCAGAGGUGAAAGCCCGGGGCUCAACCCCGGAAUUGCCUUUGAGACUGCAUCGCUAGAAUUGUGGAGAGGUAAGUGGAAUUCCGAGUGUAGAGGUGAAAUUCGUAGAUAUUCGGAAGAACACCAGUGGCGAAGGCGACUUACUGGACACAUAUUGACGCUGAGGUGCGAAAAGCGUGGGGAGCAAACAGG